CCCCGAGGCAGCGGCGGCGGCGGUCGCCAUGCGGAAGUCGUGCCGGGUUCAACGCUGCUGCAGCGCCGCCGGGCAGCCCCGGGGCUCCGAGCGCCGCUUCAGCUUCUCCGAAAACUGACAGUUCAUCACCGAAAAAAGCCCCCCUACGGCCACCAGGUGAUGCGGGGACAACCGCCGGUGACACCGGGACAACUGCCUGCCCCCACAUUUGUCCCUGUCACCGUGGAACCUGGCGCCAUCCCAACCCUCAUCUAUGCUGAGAGCUCCAUCAGCAUCCUACAGCUCC
This 286-nucleotide long non-coding RNA is filed under the name Gallus gallus (chicken). The record is from RNAcentral. Lineage: Eukaryota; Metazoa; Chordata; Aves; Galliformes; Phasianidae.